UCGCGGCGGCGUGCGCAGAAGGGUCUGGGCUCGAGCCUGCCUGGAGCCGCCGCCGGUGCAGAUCUUGGUGGUAGUAGCAAAUACUCCAGCGAGGCCCUGGAGGACUGAUGUGGAGAAGGGUUUCGUGUGAACAGCCGUUGCACACGAGUCAGUCGAUCCUAAGCCCUAGGAGAAAUCCGACGCCUACGGCGACGGGAUUUUUGAAAAUUUUAAUAACCCGUUGAUCGGGCGAAAGGGAAUCCGGUUCCUAUUCCGGAACCCGGCAGCGGAACCGCUGUUUGUCGGGCCCUCACAAGGGGUUCGUCAGGGUAACCUAAAAGGGCCCGGAGACGCCGUCGGGAGCCCCGGAAAGAGUUUUCUUUUCUGCAUGAGCGUUCGAGUUCCCUGGAAUCCUCUCGCAGGGAGAUAGGGUUUGGAACGCGAAGAGCACCGCAGUUGCGGCGGUGCCCGGGAAUUCCCGACGGACCUUGAAAAUCCGGGAGAGGGCCACGUGGAGGUGUCGCGCCGGCUCGUACCCAUAUCCGCAGCAGGUCUCCAAGGUGAAGAGCCUCUAGUCGAUAGAAUAAUGUAGGUAAGGGAAGUCGGCAAAUCGGAUCCGUAACUUCGGG
This 608-nucleotide ribosomal RNA is filed under the name Ischnura elegans. Its description in RNAcentral is "partial large subunit ribosomal RNA". It matches the Rfam family "Eukaryotic large subunit ribosomal RNA", at positions 1389 to 1940 of the family's 3401-position model. The record is from RNAcentral. RNAcentral also lists the same sequence under 3 other names. Lineage: Eukaryota; Metazoa; Arthropoda; Insecta; Odonata; Coenagrionidae.